Molecule: small nucleolar RNA, 135 nt
Organism: Megalops cyprinoides (Indo-Pacific tarpon)
Lineage: Eukaryota; Metazoa; Chordata; Actinopteri; Elopiformes; Megalopidae
Product: small nucleolar RNA SNORA13
Exons: 1
Source: RefSeq, a predicted model, not a curated record
UGCCUUUUUGUGUUGCCCUGUCAUCGUUACACAAAUGAAUGGGGUGUCAACAAAGGCAUACAUCAACCUUUGUGUUGGCCUUAACAAGGUGUCUAACAGUGUCACCUUGUAUUAAGUUCUGCAUCAAGUACAUGU